UACGUAGGGGGCUAGCGUUGUCCGGAAUUAUUGGGCGUAAAGAGCUUGUAGGCGGUCUGUCGCGUCUGCUGUGAAAAUCCGGGGCUCAACCCCGGACUUGCAGUGGGUACGGGCAGACUAGAGUGUGGUAGGGGAGACUGGAAUUCCUGGUGUAGCGGUGAAAUGCGUAGAUAUCGGGAGGAACACCUGUGGCGAAGGCGGCCCCCUGGUUGGAUACUGACGCUGAGACGCGAAAGCGUGGGGAGCAAACAGG
Molecule: ribosomal RNA, 253 nt
Filed under: uncultured bacterium
Lineage: Bacteria
Description: partial 16S ribosomal RNA
Rfam family: Bacterial small subunit ribosomal RNA
Source: RNAcentral